CAUCAUAUUGGGUUCGUUGGGAGGUUGGCUCGCGCAAUUUAAUGGGGUUCAGUAUCACUAGGAGAAAAUGGAAAGAGUAUCGCUUGCUGUCGAAAUUAAUGGGUCGUGUUCAAUUUG
Molecule: non-coding RNA, 117 nt
Organism: Caenorhabditis elegans
Lineage: Eukaryota; Metazoa; Nematoda; Chromadorea; Rhabditida; Rhabditidae
Source: Ensembl